AUGAGUUUGCCGGGGAAGAAGGCCGCGGCCGGGGCUGGGGGAAUCCGGCGGUGGCUCUCCACCGCCGUGCUGUCAGCGCUGGCGCUGGUGCUGAUCCUGGUGGUGAUUUCGCUGUCGGUGGGCUCGCCCCUGCCCGGGGCGUCGCUCCCUGAAUACCCAGCUGUCAGAGCUAGUCACCCAAAGGGGAACGCUACCGCCGAUGAUGGGAGCAAGAAUGAUAUUGCCACUGCUGUUCCAUUACCAGGGAAAGAGUUGCAGGGUGGCCAGGAGCCCUUGGUUGAGCACAGCGCCCAAAAUGCUACUUUCAACUCAAGCGAGGGGUCUCUGAAUACAAGAGAGGUUCAUGACACAGUACCGGAUCCAGUUUCUGUUGAUAGCAAAAUACAGGAUCCAGUAGUAGCUAUGGAUGAUACCACGCCAAAACUCAAUGAUUCUCAAAGGGCUGAUCAAGGUACCUGUGAUCUUUAUCAUGGGGAGUGGGUUUUCGAUUCAUCUGGGGCGUCGUACACAAACAACUCUUGCCCUGUCAUCACACGGAUGCAGAAUUGCCAGGGAAAUGGGCGACCGGACAAGGACUAUGAGAGUUGGAGAUGGAAACCUCAACAGUGCACCCUCCCACGCUUUGAUGGAAUUAAGUUCUUGGAGUUAAUGAGAGGCAAGACUCUUGCCUUUGUUGGGGACUCGGUUGCUCGAAAUCACAUGGAAUCUCUCCUUUGCAUUCUGUGGCAGGUAGAAACCCCAGUAGACCGUGGCAGCCGCAGGAUGAACAGGUGGAUCUUCAGGUCAACCAAAACGACUAUUGUCCGCAUCUGGUCUGCUUGGUUAGUGCACAACUCAAUUGAAGCUGUGGGGUUUGCUCCUAAGGGUCUUGAUAAGGUUUUCCUGGAUGUAGCAGAUGAGAAGUUCAUGCAAUUUAUCGCUUCUUUUGAUGUGCUUGUCCUGUCAUCUGGACACUGGUUCGCCAAACGGUCAGCCUAUAUCCAGAAUGGCAAUGCUGUUGGAGGGCAGCUCUGGUGGCCUCAACAAGCUGGAAAGAUGCAGAUAAACAACGUUGACGCAUUUGGUGUGUCAGUUGAGACUUGCCUGACUGCUGUGGCGACCCACCCAAAUUUCACAGGGAUAGCUGUUCUGCGCACAUACUCUCCAGAUCAUUAUGAAGGCGGGGCAUGGAACACUGGUGGGUCAUGCACCGGGAAGGUUAAGCCCUUGGAUGUGGUGGUGAGGAACGGAUACACGGAUGCAAUGUAUGGGAAACAAGUUGCAGGCUUCAGAAAGGCAGUGCAGAAUUCUGGGAAACAUGGCUCCAAGUUGAAAUUGAUGGACAUCACUGAGCCCUUUGCGUUGAGAGCUGACGGGCAUCCUGGUCCAUACAGAAGUCCUGACCCAAACAAGAAGACUCAAAGAGGACCAGAUGGGAAGCCUCCACCCCAGGAUUGUCUGCAUUGGUGCAUGCCAGGACCUAUAGAUACAUGGAACGAGAUGCUGUUUGAGACCAUACGAAGCCAACUAGAGGGAGACAGCAGCAGCUGA
Molecule: ribosomal RNA, 1530 nt
Filed under: Triticum aestivum (bread wheat)
Lineage: Eukaryota; Viridiplantae; Streptophyta; Magnoliopsida; Poales; Poaceae
Description: partial small subunit ribosomal RNA
Source: RNAcentral